RNAcentral lists this transfer RNA (66 nucleotides) under Hemidactylium scutatum (four-toed salamander). Its description in RNAcentral is "tRNA-Arg". Lineage: Eukaryota; Metazoa; Chordata; Amphibia; Caudata; Plethodontidae. The record is from RNAcentral.
GGUAUUUAGUCUAAAAAGACUGUUGAUUUCGACUCAACCAAAUCUGGUACGACCCCAGAAACACCU